Molecule: ribosomal RNA, 241 nt
Filed under: Cronobacter sakazakii
Lineage: Bacteria; Pseudomonadati; Pseudomonadota; Gammaproteobacteria; Enterobacterales; Enterobacteriaceae
Description: partial 23S ribosomal RNA
Rfam family: Bacterial large subunit ribosomal RNA
Source: RNAcentral
GGGGGGACGGAGAAGGCUAUGUCGGCCGGGCGACGGUUGUCCCGGUUUAAGCGUGUAGGCUGACUUUCCAGGCAAAUCCGGAAAGUUAAGGCUGAGGCGUGAUGACGAGGCACCACGGUGCUGAAGUGACAAAUGCCCUGCUUCCAGGAAAAGCCUCUAAGCAUCAGGUAACAUCAAAUCGUACCCCAAACCGACACAGGUGGUCAGGUAGAGAAUACCAAGGCGCUUGAGAGAACUCGGG